RNAcentral lists this long non-coding RNA (2559 nucleotides) under Mizuhopecten yessoensis (Yesso scallop). Its description in RNAcentral is "uncharacterized LOC110446537, transcript variant X1". The record is from RNAcentral. Lineage: Eukaryota; Metazoa; Mollusca; Bivalvia; Pectinida; Pectinidae.
ACACUGGGAGGGGUUCCGAACGGCAUGCGGAGUAGUUACCGUGGUCUGAAAUGGGCGUGGAUUUCACGUACUGAUAAGACAAACGUUUGCCGGGUAUCCGUAACAUGAGAGACAUUAUUCAUAAAGACACGGUUCGUCAUACAAGAAUGGCCAUAUUCAACACAUCUAUUUCCAUGAAGCGUGAAAUUUCUUUGUCGUCUUCUGUCAGAAGAAAAAUGAGAAAUAGGACUAUAACGAUAUGUGCAGCGAUGGUUGUGCCAUAUUUAACGGACUUUUUACUGCCUGGUACCACAUGCGGUGCCGGCCACGCGCAACCUUUUCAGCCACCUGGAACAAUAAAGAGGCCACGAUCAAGAAAACGUUGAAGUCAUAUAAGUGUACAUUUGGACGGAGAGUGGUCUUGAAUUACUUUUACAGAAGCACGCUAAUGCACUUCUUGUCAUAGCACACAAUUUACUGUCUCUUUAAGGAAAGUGCACACCUUCUGAACUGGGGUUUAUGCGGUAUUAUUAAGGCCCAUAUCACAGGUGUUCACUCUUUAAUGCCAAACAGGUAAUAUGUAAAAAUACACAUUAAAGGUAGUGAAGAGUAAACAGUUGACAUUAAUACUUCCCUGCCACAUUAAAUAUGAUUUGUUUUGGUCAGCGUCUGGUGUAACUGCUAACGUCGUUAUAUGGAUAUCAGGAACAGGAAUAGUGUACGAAUCUUGGUAUUUAAAACAACACCGAUCUUAUUCUUGUCUAUUUUUCGAAAUGUUUAAAUCAAUUAUACUUUCAUCUUUUAGUUCAGCGAUUCUGUUUUACCCAAAACAUAAACAUUAUUUUUUGUUAGAUGAUUUUGCUUAAGCGGUUCUAACUUUAAAUAAAAACAACAUCAUGAUAACGCAAAUUGAAAUCAGCUAUCAUCUUUACAAAUUCCUCCAUAACACUGUCUGAAUGAUACAAACUCACAAAUCAUUUGAAUCUAAUUUAUUUCAAUAACACAGCCACUAAUUAUUUUUUUUAAAUAUAAGAAGAAAUAAAUUAAGUUCUCGAACAAAACGUUUUAAAUCUUAUCAUUAUAACGUGGUAUUAACAUGAUUUCCUAAAUGUACCAUAUACAUUAUUUUUAAGAAAGAUGUUCUUUUAAUUAUCAGGUGUUUCCAACAAACCUUUAAAUCCAUUAAUUAGUAACGAACUAUAGUAAGAUAUGAUUUAAAUAACUUAAACUUUUUAUUUAACAUUGUGAUUACUCUGUUAGUAGUACUUAUUUGAAUUAUACAUAUUGAAACCCGUUUGCCAAUGUUUUCGUUGUUCUAUAAAUAUAUUGAUAAACUCAUCUGUGUUUCAAACAUGUUUUCUAUGUGCAUUGUUCAAAAUGAAUCUUAAUGGCGUUAGAUUUGUCAGUGUCACUUAGAAAACAUGAAUUUUUGACGAUUUUGUUUGCCUUGGAAAUGUGUUCAAUACAAAAUUGUUGUCAUAACGGUGUCAUGAUAUAAAUGACGAGAACUGACAAUACAUUUGUAAAAGAAAAAUCAGAAUGUGUAAUUGUUGGAAGCUACUGUGGAAAUAAAUGUUUGUGUAUUAUCGCUAAGAUAUUUGAAUUUUGUAUUUGAAGUUUGUUUAGGCAUUGCAUAAAUUACACAAUGGGUUUUUUUCCCCCAAAUAUUGUAUAUUGUAUUUGUGACUACCUGUUGCUUUUUAUAUGCCUCAGGUUUUUAUGUGAUAAUCCUUUAUGUAAUAAAUGCAGUAUUUAAAUGUAUGUGACACUUUGAAAACAUCAAUAUAUCAAACUUGGUUAAUUUUGUUAAGUCCCUCUGAUCUGUUGGUGAGCAUCAGCCAAAGGCCGUGGGGACAAAACCAGUUUUAUUUUUCAUCAACAGAAAAAAACCACGAAAGGACAGAUAGACAAUUUAUUUACCUACAGUGAAUACAGAAUACUCUUAACCGUAGCCUUGCUAAACAAUACGGCAUGUUAAAAUUAGAUAAUGGUGAUACGUAUUUUGCUCCUGUUCGUGAUCCCUGCUGGGUUACAUUGAUCGAUAAAUCUAUCAAUCUUACGUAAAAGUUUUCAUUAUUUUUUAGUAAACAACGAGAAAUAUCUCGGCAUGCAACCUUACUACGUACUUACAAAACACUUUUGAAUGUUAUACUCAUGUGAUUUCCAUAUAAAUAUCAAUACAUUUGUCUUUAAUAUGACAUGUUAUAAUAAAAACGUAAUUUGCAUGAAUUUGAAUUUUUAUAAAGUGUAACCUAUAUAUAACUGACUGCACACUAAUAGAAACGCACCGUUUAAUGUUUUCAAAUUUGAAAUUGUAUUCGAAAGCCGUUUCAUUAAAUAUCAAAACCGUCCAUUUUCGACGUAUCUAUAAGCAAUUUAUACUUAAACAAAUAUCAAGAAAUGUCAAAAUCGUUCUCGUUUGCAUAAUCUAUAUACUUUUCCCAAAUAAUAAAAAAAAACAUGAAGAUUCUGUGCAUGUUAUAAAAGAUAACAUUUCAAGACUCUUUUAUUUAUUAUUUUAGGUAUGUUUUACCUACGAUAACCUUCUCAUACUAUUUGAAUAUAUAUAUCAUUUACAAA